GAUGAACGCUGGCGGCGUGCCUAAUACAUGCAAGUCGAGCGAACGGACGAGAAGCUUGCUUCUCUGAUGUUAGCGGCGGACGGGUGAGUAACACGUGGAUAACCUACCUAUAAGACUGGGAUAACUUCGGGAAACCGUAGCUAAUACCGGAUAAUAUUUUGAACCGCAUGGUUCAAAAGUGAAAGACGGUCUUGCUGUCACUUAUAGAUGGAUCCGCGCUGCAUUAGCUAGUUGGUAAGGUAACGGCUUACCAAGGCAACGAUGCAUAGCCGACCUGAGAGGGUGAUCGGCCACACUGGAACUGAGACACGGUCCAGACUCCUACGGGAGGCAGCAGUAGGGAAUCUUCCGCAAUGGGCGAAAGCCUGACGGAGCAACGCCGCGUGAGUGAUGAAGGUCUUCGGCUCGUAAAACUCUGUUAUUAGGGAAGAACAUAUGUGUAAGUAACUGUGCACAUCUUGACGGUACCUAAUCAGAAAGCCACGGCUAACUACGUG
This 497-nucleotide ribosomal RNA is filed under the name uncultured bacterium. Its description in RNAcentral is "partial 16S ribosomal RNA". It matches the Rfam family "Bacterial small subunit ribosomal RNA", at positions 28 to 507 of the family's 1533-position model. The record is from RNAcentral.